This 353-nucleotide long non-coding RNA is filed under the name Vulpes vulpes (red fox). Its description in RNAcentral is "lncRNA (ENSVVUG00000014042.1)". The record is from RNAcentral. Lineage: Eukaryota; Metazoa; Chordata; Mammalia; Carnivora; Canidae.
CUAUGUUCAUGUAACACAAUUCACCUGAUCACAAACCGGUUCCAGAAUGUUCCAUUGUCUGCAUCAAUAAUCCAAGCAGAGAUGUGCUGAUUCAGAAAUGUAUCAGCUAUUAAGAUGGAGUGAGCCUUCAAAUUUUAAUAUCAAAAACCAAAAAACCAGUCCAAAUACAGAGAACAUUUUGGUUUGUGGAACUUCACAAAUGCAGCUUCGAAUUUGAAACUGGAAGAUCUGAUGGAAAGACAAGUACUAAAUGCUCAAGCUACUGCAUGAAGCCCUUUGACUCAAAGCACCAGUGAUCGAAGACAAGGUCCUGCCAUCCAAAAGGAUUGUGUACAUAGGGGAGAUUGAAAUUG